CUAUUCAAUGCCCAACAAAAGACGCACUGAUCUUUUUUAGUCCUUGGGCACCACGAUAAUGCCCACAGUUAAUGGCAAACAAGAAGAGCCCACACCUGUCCAGUGCAUCGGUGGGAUGACCUCUUCCCUCUUGGCCACAAUAGCAACCAUAAGACUCAAAUUCCUCUGGGCAUCGCUCAGUUAAGCAGAACAGCAUUUCUCCAAGCUGGGGCAGCUCCCUCUUCGCUCUUCCACUUCCCCUCUCUUGCAGAAAGGUUAAUCGCUCACACACUGUAAAGCAAAGUUGUUAUUUGACACAUCAUGUUUUCACUGCUUGGGGGCUCCCUUGUCAUGACAAAAGUGUUUUCAGAGCUGUCAGAAACUUUGAAAGCCAACACUUUAUAAUCUGUAAAUUAUUGCUCCAGUCCAUGAAUUAUGGCUCUUAGAAUUCUGCUGAGCAAGACAGCGGAAGGAUAGGGAAAUAUUUAAAGGGGAGAGAGAUUUCCUCUGAAAAUAUAAUUACAAGUCAAAUUGGAUUGCAAUGAGAAUACUUUGCAGUCCUUUGUAAUCCUUCAUAGCUAAAUUUUUCUUCUGAGUAUUCAGUGGCUUCUGUCUCAGCUGAUUCAGCAAAUACCCCUUGUGCUUGCACAGUGAUAGCUGGACAAUGACCAUGUUGUGCUGUAUCUUUUUUGGUUUCAUUUGAAAUAUAGUUCAAUUCAAUCUAUAAUCCUCCUAGUCCAGAUGCAGGAAUGAUCUGUUGUAGUGCCUGCUGUGGUGCCAAGGUUUUGGCAUCACCAUGUCCCAAUCCUAAUGUCUCUGUGGCUCCCCCCACUCAAGAAGAACUGAUAUUGUGGGAAUUAUUCCUAAGAUUUGAGAGAACACAGUGUUCCAUAUCAGAAAAACAUGUCAAGGGGGACUCUUCUGAGACUUUGCCAGGGAAAGGACUUGAAGGGACUGAUUGGUUGGAUUGGAGGAGAGAGAUGGAGGGCUUCUGUUCCCUCUGCAUCCUCCUCGCUCCCAUAAAUAAUCCCAUUUUCCCUUCUGCAGCUCUAGACUGACUCCCUGCUUCUUCCAGGGACAACCCUGGCUUACUGCCUCCAAAAGGAAAUUCUGCCUAUAUGCCUGCUUGAGUCUUCACUCUCUCAUGUUAAUUCACUGAGAAUGAACCACAAGGUUCAUGCAUUGACAUGUCCUCUCUAACAGCUGAUAUUUUACAAUCAAAUUUUCCACUUUGGUGGAAGAUUAGUUUGAGUCUUCAUGUCUGCUCUUUUCCAGUUCUGGGGCUGCUUCUCUCCAUUGGGAAACCAAACAAGAUGGAUGGUACAGUCCAUGAGUGUGAAUCUACAGCAGUGUCAGGUCUGAAAUGUCUUGAGAUUUCUGGGAUCUCUGAGCAGGAAUGGGAAUAGAAUCAGAAAUGGUGAGAAAAAGUCUGACUCUGGCAAGACUUGCAAAUGGUCAGAAUGAGGAUCAAGGAAGUUCCUAAUAUUGCUUCUGCUGUAAAACAAGGUUCAUUGGGUCCCCUGUCAGACAGUCCUGGUUCCAGAGCUAUUGCAGAGGAAGCUAUGCUUGGGCCACCCCUUGCAGGACUUGUCUCUGGAGAGGACAGAUGCAUAGAUUAGAUUUGUGAAGAUGUGCCUGUGGAAAUCUUCUCGGUGGGGACAAUUUUGACUUGCAUGGAGUUAAUAUCUCCUGGGAAUGAGGCUGGGGAGGUGGUUAUCGCUUCCACUGGGGCCACAGCUGCCAUAAAUCCAUCUGCUUCUGAGCAAGCAGAAACAGGAAAGCAGAAGAAGACAUGGAAAAUAAACAGCAAGAUUUUAAUUUUA
Molecule: long non-coding RNA, 1802 nt
Organism: Pipra filicauda (Wire-tailed manakin)
Lineage: Eukaryota; Metazoa; Chordata; Aves; Passeriformes; Pipridae
Exons: 3
Source: RefSeq, a predicted model, not a curated record